RNAcentral lists this ribosomal RNA (451 nucleotides) under uncultured bacterium. RNAcentral describes it as "bacterial SSU rRNA". It matches the Rfam family "Bacterial small subunit ribosomal RNA", at positions 354 to 796 of the family's 1533-position model. The record is from RNAcentral.
GUGAGGAAUCUUGCGCAAUGGGGGCAACCCUGACGCAGCAACGCCGCGUGAGUGAUGAAGGCCUUCGGGUCGUAAAGCUCUGUCAGAUGGGAAGAAGAUUUCAAAGAUAAAUAAUCUUUGAAAUUGACGGUACCGUCAAAGGAAGCACCGGCUAACUCCGUGCCAGCAGCCGCGGUAAUACGGAGGGUGCAAGCGUUGUUCGGAAUUAUUGGGCGUAAAGAGCGUGUAGGCGGUCGGGUAAGUCAGGUGUGAAAUACCUUGGCUUAACCAAGGAAGUGCAUUUGAAACUGCCCGACUUGAGUACGGGAGGGGAAAGCGGAAUUCCCGGUGUAGAGGUGAAAUUCGUAGAUAUCGGGAGGAACACCGGUGGCGAAGGCGGCUUUCUGGACCGAGACUGACGCUGAGACGCGAAAGCGUGGGGAGCAAACAGGAUUAGAUACCCCAGUAGUCC